Molecule: long non-coding RNA, 1315 nt
Filed under: Solanum tuberosum (potato)
Lineage: Eukaryota; Viridiplantae; Streptophyta; Magnoliopsida; Solanales; Solanaceae
Description: long non-coding RNA (STUB_LNC006894)
Source: RNAcentral
AGUGACACACUUGACACUUGCUAGGUUGCUACAAGGUUUUAAUUUUAGUACAUUAGGGGACUUGCCAGUGGAUUUGACUGUGGGCAAUAGCAUAACUUUGCCCAAGGCAAAUCCAUUGGAGGUAUUUGUAAUGCCUCGUUUGGCACCUAUGCUUUACCAAAAUUAGUCGGAGCUCCAAUACGGGCUCCAGACAUCAAGUAAUAAAAAUAAAAUCUAGGAAAAAUUGUUUCAAGUGUUGUUAAUUUUGGUCAAGGAUUCCUCGUAUAAUAUUGGUGAAUAAUGUUUUGUUUUUUAAAAUACCAAAUGGGAAGUUUGUAAAUUAAUAUUCCAAAUUCAUACUAUAUUUUACGGUUUAUUCUCCCCCAAUGAAAGAUAUUCCCCCAUUUUAAUAUGUUUGUUGUCUCAAAUAUUUUUCUUUAUAAUAGUUUAUCUUUUCUAUUUUGCAAUUUAAUUCGAUUUUCUGAUUUUGUUGGUUUGAACACAUGAUUAUAACAUUAUUUUGUUCAAAGUAAUAUACUAUCAAUUGUGGAAAGUUGUAAACAUAAAUUUACAUCUCAAAUAGUCCGUCCUCGUUAAUACUUGAAAUAUAUAACUAAAAAAACUGAUAUUUACAAGUAAUAUAUACUCCACCCUUGAAAUUCCUACAUAUGGUGAAUAAACCAAGAAUUUUGCUAGAGAUUAAUUUAAGGAAAAUAGAAUAUUUUACUAUGAGAAUUAAGAAGAAAAAAAAAGGAUUAAAGUGGGCUGCAAAAAGAAUAAAAAGAGAUUAAAUAAUUUUUCUUCCUUUCAAUUUGUUUUUCUGAUUUUAACUUGAUAGAAGUUAAAAAAAUGAAGAAGAUUUUUCUUAAUCUUGUGAUCUUAAACUAAAAAUAAGUAUAAUUUAUUAAAUGAUUUUAUUGUCUUAAAAAGUCACAUGAAAAGUUAAAAUUAAAAUAUUAAUAAAAAAAUAACUUUUGAUUUAUAAACAAACUAAAAGGGAAAGUAAGAUAAAUAAAAUUAAAAUGAAGGGAGUAUAAAUAAACUUGCUACAAGGUUUUAAUUUUAGUACAUUAGGGGACUUGCUAGUGGAUUUGACUGUGGGCAAUAGCAUAACUUUACCCAAGGCAAAUCCAUUGGAGGUAUUUGUAAUGCCUCGUUUGGCACCUAUGCUUUACCGACAUUAGUUGGAGCUCCAAUAUAGACUCCAGACAUCAGAUGUCAAGUGUUGUUAAUUGUUAUUUUAAUAUGUUUGUUGUCUCGAAUAUUCUUCUUUAUAAUAGUUUAUGUUUUCUAUUUUGCAGUUUAUUUCAAUCUUCUGAUUUUGUUGGUUUGAACA